UACGGGGGGGGCAAGCGUUGUUCGGAAUUACUGGGCGUAAAGGGCGCGUAGGCGGCCUGCUAAGUCGGACGUGAAAUCCCCCGGCUCAACCGGGGAACUGCGUCCGAUACUGGUGGGCUCGAAUCCGGGAGAGGGAUGUGGAAUUCCAGGUGUAGCGGUGAAAUGCGUAGAUAUCGUAAGGAAGACCAGUGGCGAAGGCGGGUCUCUGGACAGUUCCUGACACUGAGACACGAAGGCCAGGGGAGCAAACGGG
Molecule: ribosomal RNA, 253 nt
Filed under: uncultured bacterium
Lineage: Bacteria
Description: partial 16S ribosomal RNA
Rfam family: Bacterial small subunit ribosomal RNA
Source: RNAcentral